Caerostris extrusa is the source of this 106-nucleotide non-coding RNA. NCBI's taxonomy places the organism in Eukaryota, Metazoa, Arthropoda, Arachnida, Araneae, Araneidae. The record is from the annotation of a GenBank genome assembly.
AACGGCCAUACCAUGCUGAAUAUACCGGUUUUCAGAUCACUGAAGUCAAGCAUCAUUAAGUGGUCAGUACUUGGGUGGUGACCACCUGGGAACACCUGCGUGCCGU